Molecule: long non-coding RNA, 397 nt
Filed under: Callithrix jacchus (white-tufted-ear marmoset)
Lineage: Eukaryota; Metazoa; Chordata; Mammalia; Primates; Cebidae
Description: lncRNA (ENSCJAG00000081666.1)
Source: RNAcentral
GUGAGCAGGAGGCUUAAAGCCUGGCGGAGCAGCAGCCGCCUUGCCGGGGGAGAGGCCGGUUCGGGGCUGGCUCUGAGUACCGCGCGGCCGUCAGAUCCCGGGGACGCCGGGGGCCCGGGCUGAGCACCGUGGCCCGUGAGGAGGAGCACCGGACUGGAUCUAAUGAAAAUACUUUAAUGGGGAUGAAUAAACAGAGGAGCAUAAAGUUAUGCAUGUACAUUGAAUAAAGUAUAUUUUCAUCCAUAAAAUACAAGUUUAGCUUAGAUUGUUGUAUUAUCUCUCAUUGCAUAACAAAUUAACUCCAAAAGUUGGCUGCUCACAACUGACCACAUUUCUGAGUGUUGGGAAUGCAAUAACUGGUUCAGGAUCCCUUAAAGGUCAUGUCAGCUCUCGGUGG